RNAcentral lists this ribosomal RNA (1002 nucleotides) under uncultured bacterium. Its description in RNAcentral is "bacterial SSU rRNA". It matches the Rfam family "Bacterial small subunit ribosomal RNA", at positions 355 to 1347 of the family's 1533-position model. The record is from RNAcentral.
UGGUGACAAAUUGACAAUAGGGGCCAUCCUGAUCCAUCCAUGCCGCGUGUGGGAAGAAGGCCCUUGGGGUGUAAAAGCACUUUCAGCGAUGAAGAACGCCUAGUAGGUUAAUCCCCAUUAGGAAAGACAUCACUCGCAGAAGAAGCACCGGCUAAAUCCGUGCCAGCAGCCGCGGUAAUACGGAAAGUGCAAGCGUUAAUCGGAAUUACUGGGCGUAAAGCGCGCGUAGGUGGCUUGAUAAGCCGGUUGUGAAAGCCCCGGGCUCAUCCUGGGAACGGCAUCCGGAACUGUCAGGCUAGAGUGCAGGAGAGGAAGGUAGAAUUCCCGGUGUAGCGGUGAAAUGCGUAGAGAUCGGGAGGAAUACCAGUGGCGAAGGCGGCCUUCUGGACUGACACUGACACUGAGGUGCGAAAGCGUGGGUAGCAAACAGGAUUAGAUACCCUGGUAGUCCACGCCGUAAACGAUGUCGACCAGCCGUUGGGUGCCUAGCGCACUUUGUGGCGAAGUUAACGCGAUAAGUCGACCGCCUGGGGAGUACGGCCGCAAGGUUAAAACUCAAAUGAAUUGACGGGGGCCCGCNCAAGCGGUGGAGCAUGUGGUUUAAUUCGAUGCAACGCGAAGAACCUUACCUACCCUUGACAUCGACAGAAGCCGAGAGAGAUCUUGGUGUGCCUUCGGGAACUGUCAGACAGGUGCUGCAUGGCUGUNGUCAGCUNGUGUUGUGAAAUGUUGGGUUAAGUCCCGUAACGAGCGCAACCCUUGUCCUUAUUUGCCAGCGCGUAAUGGCGGGAACUCUAAGGAGACUGCCGGUGACAAACCGGAGGAAGGUGGGGACGACGUCAAGUCAUCAUGGCCCUUACGGGUAGGGCUACACACGUGCUACAAUGGCCGGUACAAAGGGCAGCGAGCUCGCGAGAGUCAGCGAAUCCCUUAAAGCCGGUCUCAGUCCGGAUCGGAGUCUGCAACUCGACUCCGUGAAGUCGGAAUCGCUAGUAAUCGGAU